GCAUUCUUUUCUGCAAUGCUGACACUUCCUUCUAGUUACACCCUUUGGCACUCUAAUCUGUGGUCUUAGUUUUAGUCACUGAUGAAGAUAUUUGGCACAUUAACUCUUAUUUCAGUUAACACCAGAUGAAGUGAACUCAAUUCCUCUUCUCACACAAAAGUUGGCCCCAAACUAGUUCAAAAAUAUAUUUGAAUUCUUUCUUGGCUAGUGUCGGUUAUUUGUGUCCCUUUAGUGAUCUGAUUAAUAUUUGCUUUUGUGAUGGUUGUCACAUCAAGAUAGCUGCAAGCAUUGUUAAAGAGACAUUUGAUAAGAGGGACUACUUACCUGGAAUUCACCCCCAGACCACCGAAAUCUUAACUACUGAUGACAGUUUUGUGUAUCCUUUAAGGAGCUCUUGAACUCUGAAUUCUAUAGAGAAAAUAAAAAGAUUUGUUGAAAAUGACUGACCCCAUGUGGGUUGAGAACUAUAUCCAGUUAACUAAACUGUAAACAGCUAACUGAAUCUGUUAACAGUUAAGUAUGUUAUCUAUAAAAUAAGCUUCAAGUAGCACUGUGUUGUAACUUCUUGGUGCCUCCAAAUUAAGAGUUAAACCCUUAGAUCUGGCUAAGGAAAUGACUUUAUCCUAGCCCAAAGGAGACCUUUUCCUCAACUCUUCCUCCAUUAUUUUUAUUCUCUAUUGUUUACUCAUCGUCUCAUAUGUCCCCUGUCAUGUUACAUUGGAAUCAUUUCUUUUAGAUGCAAACUGCAGCUGAUGUGUUCAUUGGGUCUAUUGCAGCCCCCACCAAGUGUUCACUUCUGGUGAGAGGCAUAUCCAGGGCCUGAGUGCUGGAACCCAAAGAUGACAAGGGUGGAGCAUUGAUGAGUUAACCUCGCAGCUGGAGGGUCUGUGCUGCAUAGUCUCCCCUUGGGCCAUGAGAGCACAUGCUUGAGAAUUACAUAAGCCUGUAGCAGGGCAGGGCUCAGGGCUACGGAAUUGAUAACACCAGUGGGACUAAGGCAUCCACCAUCUGUUCUUUGUUAUGUUCAUGCCCAUCACCAAAGUAAAAAUCACAGUCAUCCUUCUCUCCACCAUUUCUGUCUCAAUCAAUCACUUCCUCCUAGGCUGGCCAAAUUAUCUUCUUCAACUUGCCAGAGGAAGAGGGAAUGUCUUUUGGUAAGGCACAGAGGAGCCCUUGGUUUUCCAGUUACACUCCUGCUAAUUGCAGAGAUUUCUCAGUUCGUGGUAAUCAUGGAGGCUUGCAUCUUUAAGCGCUUGCCAUCUGCAAAAACUGGCCCCAGUUGCUAUCCGGAGAUGGCAUCUCCCACUGAAAUCUGCAUGAACUUUGUCCCUGUGGGCUGCAGGGACCUGAGUAGUUUUCAAGUCCCUGGCUUUUGAUAGGAAGCAAAAAGCUUCUAGAUUGAGUACAGCCUGAAAAAGGAAGAGAAAUCGUGAUACUUCCUGUGUUGCAAUAACAAACACCCGUCCUAACUGCUGCUAGACAGGGAACUGGCAGUUUAACCUCUUCCUGCUCACUAGGGAGGUGGGGCAGGGCGAGUGGGAGUGGGGAGCUCCCCUUUCUUGCAGGCUCCAUCCACAGAACACUUCCUACAAACCCCUUCCUGCCUUUGUAAUCCUAGUGUUGCAAAGCUGCCCUGUCUGCUCUGUGCAGAGCCCUCUCUGUGCUCUGCCUCGCCUGUGCCCUCUCUAAUUGCCCUCUUCCUUACAAAAUCCAGCUGCCGGUUGAGGCUUCUCUCCCUGAAUUUACAGCCGUCUAAUCAACUGGUAAUUUACUUUCAAUCAGUGCCGGAUUGUGUUCCUCAGAUUCAUAUCUCCUUUUUCAUUUAGUGAGGAAAUGAUUGCCUUUCCUCUUUACCAUUUGUUUUAAAUAUUAGCUGCCAUGUUGUGCCGAGCAAUGGUCUCUUAAAUACGAAGGUACGAUCUGGCAGUUCAAGACAGCAUUUGUCCAAAGCUGUCUGAACACUUACAGUGUGCUCGAGGCAAGUCCGCAUGCCUAGGACUGGGGUAGCGUCUGUCAUGCUGUCUUAUGCCCCAGUGACUUAAGUUCUUCAGUUGUCAGUGUCAAAUCUUGAUUUCUAGAGGCUCCUUGUUAUUUAAUUCCAGCCAGGAACUGAUUUCCUUGCAGGCUUCUGUGAGGCCAUCCUGAAUGGCUGCAGUGGGGUGAGGAUGGUCUGGGGCUGUGCUAUGAGGCUUUGACCCUGAAGUUUCACCUGUUAAGAUCUGAAAAACUGCAGGCCAAGAACAUUAACAGGUUGUUUUGUGGCUUGUGGGGCAGGUUGAGUAGCACAGAAGAGAAGCUGGGGAGAUGGAGAGAGAGCAGGCAAGGGGAGAGUCAGAGAUGAAAUGAGUGACCAGUGGGUCAGCUGAGGCUCAUCCGCCCAGACCCUGCUCUUAGGCAUAUCUUGAAUGUGUCCCUGGACAUGCUCUUACAUGUGAAUGAUGUUAGUAAGUCUCAUCCUUUCUGCUGAGAAGCACUUUCCUAGUAGGACAGGAUCGGGGCUGAGGAACUUUCGACCCCAGCCCACUUUCUAGCUAUUUGCUCUUAUUAAAAAUCUUCCUGCUGGCCAGGCACAGUGACUCAAGCCUGUAAUCCCAGC
RNAcentral lists this long non-coding RNA (2596 nucleotides) under Homo sapiens (human). Its description in RNAcentral is "non-protein coding lnc-GBP5-3:4". Lineage: Eukaryota; Metazoa; Chordata; Mammalia; Primates; Hominidae. The record is from RNAcentral.